This 273-nucleotide ribosomal RNA is filed under the name uncultured bacterium. RNAcentral's name for it is "partial 16S ribosomal RNA". It matches the Rfam family "Bacterial small subunit ribosomal RNA", at positions 524 to 796 of the family's 1533-position model. The record is from RNAcentral.
UACGGGGGGUGCAAACGUUGCUCGGAAUUAUUGGGCGUAAAGAGCACGUAGGCGGUCGGGUCAGUCGGACGUGAAAGCCCAGGGCUCAACCCUGGAAGUGCGUUCGAUACUACCUGACUUGAGUACGGGAGAGGAGAGUGGAAUUCCCAGUGUAGCGGUGAAAUGCGUAGAUAUUGGGAGGAACACCGGUGGCGAAGGCGGGUCACUGGACUGCAACUGACGCCGAGGUGCGAAAGCUAGGGGAGCGAACAGGAUUAGAAACCCCAGUAGUCC